Molecule: long non-coding RNA, 1349 nt
Filed under: Apis florea (little honeybee)
Lineage: Eukaryota; Metazoa; Arthropoda; Insecta; Hymenoptera; Apidae
Description: uncharacterized LOC105736334, transcript variant X2
Source: RNAcentral
AAUACUACUCUGGUAAUUGUUUACAAAAGAUUUCGAAUAAAUAGAUUUGAUAAUGAGAGUAAUUAUAAUAGAGAAGCAAUAACGAUUGAUUAGAAAAAGAUGAAAUGAAAAUAAAUUCGCAUAUAGUAUGCAGUGCUGCAAGUCAAACGGACAGACAUAUCUAAGUGUACACGAGGAAAAUACGACCAACUUGUCCCGAAGGAUACUUUCGGAUGGAAUUCAGGCCAGAAAAAAGUUCCAAUUACUCGUUCGUUUUUCCUCCGCCUUCUACGCACGAACAUACUGUUUCUGGUGUCUCAUCCGAUAUCAAACCUUUCAAACUCUCAAGGCAAAAGUUCGAAGGACCUCCGUGCGACCGUAGUGCUCGAAAAGCCGCGCGCGCAAAAGAAACACAACAAAAAAGGAAAUAAAACACGAGAAACACGAUCUCGAUUUCGUAAGAUUGACGAUGGAUGGAAGUGUAGUGAUAUCGAGAGGCUCCAAGAUGGACAAAAAACCAGCUCCGCGGCAAGAAAUCUCCUUUCCGUCGGCAGUAAUAUUGCAAGAUUCUAGGAGACCGGGUCCAUUGAAGGAACCCGGCUGUUCCUCGGCGGAGCAAAUCCGGCAGAGGAACAUCGCCAAAAUGACAGUACCGCGGCAGAACUGUGUGCACAUGCCGGUCAGCUUAUUAGGCUUCUCUUCCUUCCUUCUGCCGGAGUCGCCGCGCCCAGGAAACGUUUCACUUCACCACAUUAUACUUAUAUCAGAUACACAUCAGGAUCCUGGAUCCCUUGACAAACGAAAAGAUGAACACAUAUAGAGAUGGCAUAUAGAAAGGAACGCGUGGCCUGUUAAGGAGCUUAUAAGCUCACGAAACGAACAACGCACGCGCUCACUUUCCCUUUAACGCGGUUUCGACAACAGACGUAUACAAUACGACAUACGUUUACCAACUGACAGCGUAACUAUAUGUGCAAUAGCAGUAACUGCACCAAUUCCCCCUCUUUCACUGAGCUUCAUCCCUACUAUUGCCAUAUUCAUUGCUUUGAACCAAUCAACUUUCUCCGUAAAAACACCACUACCGAUGCACUUCUAGUAUAAUAUACUUGCGAUUCGCAAUAAUUGUGUAUCGAUGAUAUAUACCGUAUAUAGAGAUCUAUAUUUUCAAUCAAUUUUAUGAUUUUUAUUUUAUUUUUUAAGAUGAUAUUUAUAGCACGAUGAUUGAAUGAUAUUUUUUUAAUUGGAUAUUAACUUUGAUACAAAAAAAAAAAAAAUGAAGACUCAUAUGUUUAUUUUUGAGAGAUUAAUUGAUUUUGAAUUUGAAAAUUGUUAAAAAUAUACAUUGAAGAAUAUUGUAAUAUUUAUAAAAA